UUUUUUUGAAAAGAUUGGAGAUU
Molecule: small nuclear RNA, 23 nt
Filed under: Arabidopsis thaliana (thale cress)
Lineage: Eukaryota; Viridiplantae; Streptophyta; Magnoliopsida; Brassicales; Brassicaceae
Description: snRNA_12540
Source: RNAcentral